UUAAAGGCGACGACGGAGAAAAGUAGUCUAUUUAUUACCUUUCAGGGAGGAAGAGUCUCGACUGAAAACUCUUCUAUGUGUGAUGAUAGGUGAAGUUCCCUCCCGAGCUUCCGGCUUAACGUUAAAAACAAGUAGGCUAGGACGGUUCUUCACCGUUAACAGGAAGGGGGUAUCGGUAUUAUUCCCGUACCUUUGUUGAGUGGCCAUUUUGGCUAAGUUGGGUGGUAACACGAGAUAUAACUUCUCGUCCCUACA
Molecule: non-coding RNA, 255 nt
Filed under: Desulfosporosinus sp.
Lineage: Bacteria; Bacillati; Bacillota; Clostridia; Eubacteriales; Desulfitobacteriaceae
Description: T-box sequence
Rfam family: T-box leader
About the family: Uncharged tRNA acts as the effector for transcription antitermination of genes in the T-box leader family.
Source: RNAcentral